RNAcentral lists this long non-coding RNA (1946 nucleotides) under Homo sapiens (human). RNAcentral describes it as "HSALNT0233926". The record is from RNAcentral. Lineage: Eukaryota; Metazoa; Chordata; Mammalia; Primates; Hominidae.
CACAUGGAGGUUUCAUACGGGACUUAGAAAAAAUGUAGGCUACUAAAGGAAAGUUUCAGACCUUCCUGUAAAUGCCAUUUUCCUCAUUAUUGGGAAAUGAGGUCUCAGUGGGACCACUGAACCAGCCUUUGUAUUUACAAAAUAUGGUUAGGACGAGAUUAACAUCAUGCACUGAAGGAGUUUUUUGAAUCCAAGUAAGAGACUACUUUUUAUAAGGGAGUUGGCCCAGCCGGGCUGCCUCUGAGUCAAUUGGGCUGAGAAAUAAUUUGGAUGCCCACUGCCUGAGUCAAAUUUUCAGGUUUAAACAUACCUGAAAUGAUGCUGCUUAGUAGACUGCAGUGUCGGAUAAGCGUGCAUCUGCUCUCAAGUUGAAAAUACACAGGAAACCCAUCCCUCUUACCCCAUUCUUGAGGUUUGCUUGAGUCUGACCUUCUAGAAUCCUGGCUCCAGAGGUGACUCAACCCUGACCAAGUACAUAGUCCACAAUGCUUGGAUUCAGGGAUAAUCAGUGCACUGCCAAUUCAAGCCAAUGAGCCUCAAAUCUGGGACUCUUUGGAACUAUGUGAAAAAAGAAGCUUAUUCUACAGGGAAUGCUCACUGUACAUAAGAUUUAUGGCUGGAGUUUCCAGUGGCCAUACUUCUAUGUCAGGGGGAUCCACCGAAUGAAGGCAAACACAGAAUUAAGAGAAUUUUGGAGCCAUAGAAGACCCUGGUAACUCAAUUGAUAUGUCUGGAUACAGCCAAGCCAAGACAGAAGCCAGUGUUGCUGCUGGACUUUUCAAAUUGAGAACCAAUGAAUUAUUUUGUUAUGUUCUUAAGCCAAGUUGGAUAGAGCCUCCUGUCACUUACAGCAAAGAAUUCGGAUACCAUCUCUAUUUAGGGUGUCCCAGGUUUUCUCUAGAUACCUUAAAACGUGUUAUAAAAUUCUCAAAAUAUACAUAAAACCUAUAGAGAAUUCAUUUUAAAAUAGGAAUAUAUAAAGGGAAUACCAAUGUCAUUAAAUCCCAAAGUCAGUAACAGAACAGAGCAACUGAUUAGAAUGAGGAAUCGUUUGUUUCAUGCUGGCUGAUUCACUAACGCUUCGCUGUCUAAUACUGGAGCUCCAAGCCACCUGUGGCCACUGCCCACGGAGUGCAGGAACAGUGGUGGCUGGUCUGGAUGCAGGUGUGCUAAAGAUGUAAAGCACACAUUAGGUUAGAACUGACUACAAAAAGAAAAUGAAUGUAAACUCUCUCAUUAAUAAUUUUAAUACCGAUCACAUGUCAAAGAGACAACAUUUUGGAAGGAUUAGGUUAAAUAACAGAUAUUAUUAAAAUUAAUUUCACCUGUUUCUUUUUACGUUUUGUAAUAUGGCUGCUACACAAUUGUUAUGUAUGCCUCAUGUUAUUUUUCUAUUGAAUAGUGCUGCAUAAAAGCUGCAAUUGUUACAAGAUUCCACUGCAUGUUGAGCUCAAACCUUUAUUCCUGUCGCUCCUACCCUCGCUGGCUGUCCCUAUCUUGAGUUACUAUGGUCAAACUUGGAGAAUAAAAAUGGAAUCAAAUCCAUUUUUCACGGUACAGUCCCUCAGCUAUUUAAAGGCAGCUCCCACAUUCUUCUCAUAACUUCUUUUUUUCUAGGCCAAAUGCCCCACAUUUUCUUACUCUUCUCUGGACAUCUUUUGGUUUACCAAAGAUCCCUUAAAACGUGAUGCUUAGCAUUCUUCCUGGCAUACCAGUGUGGUCUCUUGGUAUUGAGGUUCUCACCUUCUUGGACUAGACACCCUAUCUCUAUUUAUGUGACCUUGUUGCCAUUAACAUCUUUGAAAACUAAAGCUGAUACCAGUGGUUUUCAAAAGUUGAUGCCCAAACUAGCAGCAUCAACAUCACCUGAGAAGUUGUUAGAAAUGUAAAUUCUCUGGCUCCUCCCAAGACCUCCGGAAUCACAAACACUGGGGUUGGUAUCCAGC